UGGCACUGAAACUUCGUUUUUCGCAAUUUGGGAACACACCUGGUACCAUUUUGAUGCAAAACACUCCCGAGACCAUUAGCACCUAAAAUUGACCAAUUAAACCCCGAAUUAAUCGCUUAAUUUGAUACCAAAUCAAACUACAUUGAAAUAGACAAAAACGAAAUUCAAAUGUUCAAUGCUUACCCGAUCCGAAUUAAUCGCUUAAUUUGAUACCAAAUCAAACUACAUUGAAAUAGACAAAAACGAAAUUCAAAUGUUCAAUGCUUACCCGAUUCCCCAAAACUCCAACUACGAUUCCACAAAAGGAGAGUCUCGUUCUUCACGGUUUGAUGCUGCCAAAAUAUACAACUCUUACCUACCAAACGUACGAACACCGAAGUUUAUAAAAACAAUUUUGCCAAAAAGAGGAAGGAAGAAGGGUGAGAAAAAGAAAAGCAAAAAAAUUCUUAUGGGAAGAAAAGUGCAGAAAUGUCAGAUUUCCAAAAGAGGGAUUUUUGAGAAAUACGAAUUUUACCCAAAUCCUACUACAUCCACAAUCAUAACCACCCACUACUUAGAAUUCCAACUCCACCGAAACUCUAUCACAACUCCAAGCAAAAUUAAUACUUACGCUCACGCAAGGAUUCAAACACAUAACCUCCAGCACACCAACUCGCUUACCACUUGAACCAACUGGCUCAUUCUAAUAUAAAUUAACAGACAAUUAAAUAUAAGCCUACUCAACAAGGGUAAGACUUGGAUAAAAAAUAACAAAAAUUGUUAAAAAUGAGAAUUGAACCUAAGACCUCACACACACAUUCAAAACACUUAACAACUGAAGCAAAUACUCAUUUAUAUCAAAUAUUUACAAAAAUAGAAAUAAAUAAGUUAAAGUGUUACAAAACUAAUGAAAGAAUUAACUUCAAAUGUACAUUUUAGAAAACCGGUUGAAUUAUAAUAGAGAGAUCAGUGGAUAAAUUUGUAUGGAUUUCAAAUUAUUUAAUAUAAGUUUCUUUUUCUAAAAAGAAUUAAAAAUGAAAAUUUGUUUGAAAUUAGACCAAAAUUUAAAGAGAAAUUACAUGAGUGGUAUGAUAAUUUCAGUGUGUGAAAGUCAACCAACAAUCGUGUACAAGUUGUCUAAGCUGAAGAGAGAAGAAUGUUGGAGGGGGAUAAAGUUUGAUAUUGAUAGUGCAUUCGCAGAAAAGACCAAUAGCGACAAAAAUGUCUGAUGUUGUCGGCAGAACAUUGAUAAUCAAUGUCAACUCGUGUGAUUCAAUUCCAUUAUAUAUAAACAACUGGUCACCAAGAUUGCCACGUGCUAACUUGGGAUUUUUUUAACUUUUUUAAUUCUGAGGUUGUGGGAAAUUUCUUUCCAUUUACAUUUACUAAAUUGUAACGUAAUUAUAAACAAGGGGACCGAAAGAAAGUAAGUGGAAAUAAUGAAGCCUCCCAAGGAGUGCCCAACUACCAACCUAUUUCUCUAACACAUACCUUUUGACUUUCUGAAUCCAUCUUUUUUUUUUUUUUUAAUUUUUAUAAUAUGCUUUGGUGCUUUGAAUCAUACAUAUACUUUAGCUUAAUUUUUGGCUUUUAUCCAUUUUGACCAUUUAAUCUCCAAUAUUCUAAUAUCAAUGCUACAUAAUAUAUGUAUUGUUGGAAAAAAAAAACAUAUCAAGACUUUGAGGUUUUCAUAUUACUUUUGAGGAUAUAUCAAAAACAAAAUCAUGAAAAAUGUUUAUAUAUAGACCCAAAUUGUUAAUAUUACGUAAUAAGUCCUAUAAAUAGAGAUUUACGAGAGGAGAGUUCGUAAUUUUAUUCCUGCAAAAGUUGUAUCUUGUGGUGAUUCACAUUUCUAGCUUUAUCCAUGCAAAAUUACAAGUUUAGUGGAGUAAUCCUUAUCCUGUUUAUAUUUUGGGCUUUGGUUAAAGGGGCUGAACCAUAUAAAUUACGAGUUUAGUGGAAUGAUUUUUAUCUUUUUUAUAUUUUAAAACAAAUCAAACGGGUUCAGCCACAUUAAAUAUUAUCUCUUACGAAUAUGAAUUUUUUUUUCACUAACAUACAAUAUGAAUGUCAAUUUCUAUAAAAGAAAUUUUAUGGUAAUUUUUUAUAAACAAUCUAUAAUUAGUAGGAAGAUAGAAGGAGAGUAGAAAGUUGUAUUUCUGAAUUUUUUUUACGUACAUUCCAAAUGCAAUUUUACUCUUAUUUAUAGUUCUUAUGUCUCUUUAUACAAAGAGAACUAUCUAGUAAAUGUUUGUUUUGGGAGUCAAGUCUUUUACGAUAAACAUAACUAUUCAAUAAUGUACGGGCCUAAAUUUGUCCGAUGCCCAUGACUCAACCAAAAACAAAAAUAAAUAAAAACCAAAUUUUCAAACCAAAAUAAACAGCCCAAUAAAAAACUCUAAACUCAAAUUUUAGCCCAAACCUUCAAACCAUAAUCAGCCCAAUAACAAAUACAGCCCAAACUAUCAAUCUAAUGCAAAAAAUAUCAGCAGAACCCUAGGAACGUUCAGCCACCGCCCCGCGCUUCUUCGUCUGCUCGCACGCUGCUCCAUCAGUCGCCCUCCACGCGUCAUCUGACAUUUGAAACAAGCACAAUAGCAGAGAAAGAAGCAUGCGAGCGCAGAGAAAUGAAGAGCAAAAAACAAAAAAACUAAAAGGGAAUCGAUUGUAAAUGGCUUUAAAAGCCCGGAUCUACUCUCUUGUAAUUUUUUUACGUACAUUUUACAAGCAAAAACUAAUCAAAAAAACAGAAUACUCGUUUUAAAGGUGAUUUUUUUUGUGUGUGUGAAGAUUUCUGUCUCUUUAUCUUGUUUUUACUUUUGUUUCUCUUAGUUUUUUUAUUUUAUUUUAUUUCACUUACGAAAAUAAAAGGGAAAUAAAACUUACCGGAAAACCCCCAUGGUCGGUCGUCGGAGACUUCUUUCUCCAUUGGAGUUGAGCCCAAAAGGGGAGGUUGGGAAGUCCCUUUAUUUUCGGGCACUCGACCGAGGGAUUUGGGACCUUCAAAGGCACCACAAACAGAGGCUAGGUAGCCUAUUUCGCUUGUCGUCGGCCACUGAUUGUAAUGGUGGUGUGACAAACCGCUGAGGGCGGCGAUAAGGGGUUCAGGACCCUAGCCGAACGAAAGAGAAAAGGGGGUAGGGAGGCUGAGUUCUUUUAAAAAAUAAGCAGCAUAAAUCUGCCUACAAAAGGAAGAAACCCUUUUGUUUUCUUUAAAAGGUGAAACGACG
RNAcentral lists this long non-coding RNA (3209 nucleotides) under Gossypium barbadense (sea-island cotton). RNAcentral describes it as "long non-coding RNA (GBAR_LNC009424)". The record is from RNAcentral. Lineage: Eukaryota; Viridiplantae; Streptophyta; Magnoliopsida; Malvales; Malvaceae.